GUAGAGUAUUGUAUCAGUCGAACAGAUACUUCAAUUUUUAAGUUUGAGAUGGAGAUUUGAUCUCCCAUAUGGAUGCAAUAUAGGGAUUUAACUUUGAAAAGUUGCUUGGAGCCAUUAAAUCUGAAAUGAGGUCCAUGAAGAUCAAUGAUGUAUAGACAUUCGUUGAUUCACCUAAAGGGAUAAGACCCAUAGGGUGUGAGU
Molecule: long non-coding RNA, 201 nt
Filed under: Elaeis guineensis (African oil palm)
Lineage: Eukaryota; Viridiplantae; Streptophyta; Magnoliopsida; Arecales; Arecaceae
Description: long non-coding RNA (EGUI_LNC071888)
Source: RNAcentral